This 232-nucleotide ribosomal RNA is filed under the name uncultured bacterium. Its description in RNAcentral is "partial 16S ribosomal RNA". It matches the Rfam family "Bacterial small subunit ribosomal RNA", at positions 99 to 334 of the family's 1533-position model. The record is from RNAcentral.
CGGACGGGUGAGUAAUGUCUGGGAAACUGCCCGAUGGAGGGGGAUAACUACUGGAAACGGUAGCUAAUACCGCAUAACGUCGCAAGACCAAAGAGGGGGACCUUCAGGCCUCUUGCCAUCGGAUGUGCCCAGAUGGGAUUAGCUAGUAGGUGGGGUAACGGCUCACCUAGGCGACGAUCCCUAGCUGGUCUGAGAGGAUGACCAGCCACACUGGAACUGAGACACGGUCCAG